Bos taurus (domestic cattle) is the source of this 485-nucleotide long non-coding RNA. The record is from Ensembl. NCBI's taxonomy places the organism in Eukaryota, Metazoa, Chordata, Mammalia, Artiodactyla, Bovidae.
CUGAGCCAUGAUCACCGUCCACAGUCACUUAUUCAUAGGGUGACCAGAAAGUUUGCCUUCCAAACUGGAAUACAUCUGAAAGUAGAGCACACAUAGAUGGGAGAGGAAGCAAGGUUGAAAGCGGAAUGGAUCAGCCAACUGAUGAAGGGAGGCACAAAGUAAUCUGUAAGUACAUGUAAGAGGGGAAAAAAUGAAUAAACAUUCAGCAGCCAGGAUCUGCAGCACUGCCUGCCACAGAGCAUCUUAGGCAUCUCUGCAAGAAGGACGCUUCCCUCGAAAGCUUGGGAAUGGGGUAUGGAGCAGGAAAACGCAUCUGAGUCAGGGCAGUGGAAGGAUGUAUCUGCCUCCACCAUCAGACUUUUGCUUCAGGGCUUAUGGAAGAUGUGAUUGAUGACAUCCAAAUUUACACUUGAGAUCUUCUGCUGAAGAUCUUCUGCUCCAAGGAUCAAACCUAACUAGUCAGCCAACUGUUGUCAACGUUUGAU